This 298-nucleotide ribosomal RNA is filed under the name uncultured bacterium. Its description in RNAcentral is "partial 16S ribosomal RNA". It matches the Rfam family "Bacterial small subunit ribosomal RNA", at positions 218 to 507 of the family's 1533-position model. The record is from RNAcentral.
UUGGAUGACGCCCAUUGGUUCGAAUUAGCUAGUUGGCGGGGUAACGGCCCACCAAGGCGACGAUCGAUAGCUGGUCUGAGAGGAUGAUCAGCCACACUGGAACUGAGACACGGUCCAGACUCCUACGGGAGGCAGCAGUAGGGAAUAUUGGACAAUGGGCGCAAGCCUGAUCCAGCCAUGCCGCGUGAGUGAAGAAGGCCCUCGGGUUGUAAAGCUCUUUUGUUGGGGAAGAAAAGCAGUUGGUUAAUACCCGAUUGUUCUGACGGUACCCAAAGAAUAAGCACCGGCUAACUUCGUG